AUUACUUUGGCAGAAUAGUGUUUUAAAUUUAGAAUUUAAUUAUGUAUAAAAAUAUACAAGUAAUA
This 65-nucleotide transfer RNA is filed under the name Onthophagus gracilipes. Its description in RNAcentral is "tRNA-Leu". The record is from RNAcentral. Lineage: Eukaryota; Metazoa; Arthropoda; Insecta; Coleoptera; Scarabaeidae.